UACAGAGGUCCCAAGCGUUGUUCGGAAUCACUGGGCGUAAAGGGUGCGUAGGCGGUAGUGUAAGACUUAGGUGAAAUCUCCAUGCUUAACGUGGAGCUCGCCUGGGAGACUGCAUUACUUGAGGAUUGGAGGGGAGACUGGAAUUCUUGGAGUAGCAGUGAAAUGCGUAGAUAUCAAGAGGAACACCGAUGGCGAAGGCAGGUCUCUGGGCCACUACUGACGCUGAGAAGCGAAAGCAUGGGGAGCGAACAGGAUUA
This 257-nucleotide ribosomal RNA is filed under the name uncultured prokaryote. RNAcentral's name for it is "partial 16S ribosomal RNA". It matches the Rfam family "Bacterial small subunit ribosomal RNA", at positions 524 to 780 of the family's 1533-position model. The record is from RNAcentral.